UUGACCUCAAAUCAGGUAGGACUACCCGCUGAACUUAAGCAUAUCAAUAAGCGGAGGAAAAGAAACUAACAAGGAUUCCCUUAGUAACUGCGAGUGAAGAGGGAAAAGCUCAAAUUUAGAAUCUGGCAGUGUUUCAUUGUCCGAGU
RNAcentral lists this ribosomal RNA (146 nucleotides) under Amanita sp. 'sponsus'. RNAcentral's name for it is "partial 28S ribosomal RNA". It matches the Rfam family "Eukaryotic large subunit ribosomal RNA", at positions 1 to 143 of the family's 3401-position model. Lineage: Eukaryota; Fungi; Basidiomycota; Agaricomycetes; Agaricales; Amanitaceae. The record is from RNAcentral.